This 500-nucleotide ribosomal RNA is filed under the name uncultured bacterium. RNAcentral describes it as "partial 16S ribosomal RNA". It matches the Rfam family "Bacterial small subunit ribosomal RNA", at positions 29 to 523 of the family's 1533-position model. The record is from RNAcentral.
AUUGAACGCUGGCGGCAUGCCUUACACAUGCAAGUCGAGCGGCAGCGCGGGGGCAACCCUGGCGGCGAGCGGCGGACGGGUGAGUAAUACAUCGGAACGUGUCCUUUCGUGGGGGAUAACCAGUCGAAAGACUGGCUAAUACCGCAUGAGAUCUCACGAUGAAAGCGGGGGACCACAAGGCCUCGCGCGAUUGGAGCGGCCGAUGUCGGAUUAGCUAGUUGGCGGGGUAAAAGCCCACCAAGGCGACGAUCCGUAGCUGGUUUGAGAGAACGACCGGCCACACUGGGACUGAGCAACGGCCCAGACUCCUACGGGAGGCAGCAGUGGGGAAUUUUGGACAAUGGGCGCAAGCCUGAUCCAGCCAUGCCGCGUGUGUGAAGAAGGCCUUCGGGUUGUAAAGCACUUUCGGCCGGAACGAAAUCGCGCGGAUUAAUAACCCGCGUGGAUGACGGUACCGGAAGAAGAAGCACCGGCUAACUACGUGCCAGCAGCCGCAGUAA